RNAcentral lists this unclassified non-coding RNA (23 nucleotides) under Mus musculus (house mouse). RNAcentral describes it as "oocyte_clustered_small_RNA2969". Lineage: Eukaryota; Metazoa; Chordata; Mammalia; Rodentia; Muridae. The record is from RNAcentral.
UGAAUAAGCCUGGUGAAGCCACA